Erysipelothrix rhusiopathiae str. Fujisawa is the source of this 71-nucleotide non-coding RNA. NCBI's taxonomy places the organism in Bacteria, Bacillati, Bacillota, Erysipelotrichia, Erysipelotrichales, Erysipelotrichaceae. The record is from Rfam.
GCAGGUGUAGUUCAAUGGUAGAACACGACCUUGCCAAGGUUGAGGCGGGGGUUCAAUUCCCCUCACCUGCU